AAGAAAUUAGUUAACUAAUAACACCACCUUGUCAAGGUGAAAUAAUGGGUUAAAACCCCAUACUUCUUU
RNAcentral lists this transfer RNA (69 nucleotides) under Hyloxalus subpunctatus (Bogota rocket frog). Its description in RNAcentral is "tRNA-Asp". It matches the Rfam family "tRNA". From Rfam's summary of the family: Transfer RNA (tRNA) molecules are approximately 80 nucleotides in length. Their secondary structure includes four short double-helical elements and three loops (D, anti-codon, and T loops). The record is from RNAcentral. Lineage: Eukaryota; Metazoa; Chordata; Amphibia; Anura; Dendrobatidae.